Homo sapiens (human) is the source of this 764-nucleotide long non-coding RNA. Ensembl annotates it as HOXA cluster antisense RNA 2. Its record names the gene HOXA-AS2. NCBI's taxonomy places the organism in Eukaryota, Metazoa, Chordata, Mammalia, Primates, Hominidae. The record is from Ensembl.
UUCUGAACCAGGAAUUGUCUCCAACUCCAGGCGCUCAGGGAAUCGCCUUUUCCGGUGUCCAGGCGCUCUGCAGACAAAUAAACAGCAGAAGCAAAUGGUCACCGAGCCGGCAGUCAGCUUUCUGGGAGUGGGAGAUGAUGGGGAAAGAGGAAAGAAUCGUCCGCUCGCCGGACCCUGGCUUGGAGAAGUUCUGCGCUCCGCUGGGACUCUGCGGGCCCUUUGCGUCUACAGACCUAUCCCUGCCCCGACUACCCCUUCACUCAGACCCAGGGAAGGACACGUUUCUAUGCCUUACAGAGACUUGAAGCCUGAAAGCCUGGCCAAGUUUGGGAAGAAGAGGAGCCCUCUCAGAGCUCAAGAGCCUUCCUACUCUUUGGAACUUUUCCACAGUAGGCCAAGCUUGACAAGAGUUCAGCUCAAGUUGAACAUACAUACACACACUCUCACACACAAAUUAUGUGAGCCGUCAGAAUCCAAGUGAAUCCAGCUCAAGCUAUCUACAAGGUUUUUACAUGCAAGGUCAAGUAUCUCAAUCCAGAGGACUUUUGUUUUCUUAAUGAAAAGCUUAGAAAACACAUGAAUCUUAGAUUUUUAAUGUUUUUUAAAUGGAGUUUAUUCUUAGCACAUGGCUUUCUAUGUAGCCACAUCACAAUUUGUACAGUUCCACAUAAGUCUAAAUGCACUCCCCUCUCCCCAAAGACCGUGCCCCAGAAGGGGACAACAGUAUCUCUGUAACAGUGUCUUAAAUAAAUGCAAGUAAGAAA